Molecule: long non-coding RNA, 537 nt
Filed under: Vigna radiata
Lineage: Eukaryota; Viridiplantae; Streptophyta; Magnoliopsida; Fabales; Fabaceae
Description: long non-coding RNA (VRAD_LNC012468)
Source: RNAcentral
GAGAGUUGUGUGCGCAACAACAAGUAAAAUGAUGGAGGAAGGGAGGCAAAAGUAAAGUCAAGGAGAAGGGGAGGAUAAAAGGAGCAUUGCGCACUAGAAGAGGGAAGAAGGGGAAGAAAUGCGACAGAGGGGAUGGGUAAUUGCUUUCAAGUGUUGAAUGUUGAAUGGGUCAGUUAAAAAUAAAAGCAGUCAAAAGAUUCUUUGUGGUUCUAACAGAGGCACAAUUUGAAUAAUAAAAAAAAAAUAGGGAGAUGCAUGUGAGACUGGUGAGGUGCAGGGAGAAACACUCAACAAUCUAUUCACUCUCUAAUCUCCUCAAAUUCAUCUACUCACUCUCCCAAAUCAAUCCUCUAAAGUGAACACACCCUUAGUAUCCAUUAUACAAAAAUCUCAACCAAUCAUCCAUUUAGUCUAUUUAAAUAAUUCUAAUUCUUUUAUACAAUUUGUUUCAAAAUUAUUUUAAACCCAACCAAAUCGAUUAAACUCAUGCACAUAAAUUAAUUAAUACUCACACAAACCUUAAACCUACAUUAAUGA